Molecule: ribosomal RNA, 481 nt
Filed under: uncultured bacterium
Lineage: Bacteria
Description: partial 16S ribosomal RNA
Rfam family: Bacterial small subunit ribosomal RNA
Source: RNAcentral
GAUGAACGCUGGCGGCGUGCUUAACACAUGCAAGUCGAACGAAGCACUUUAUUUGAUUUCCUUCGGGACUGAUUAUUUUGUGACUGAGUGGCGGACGGGUGAGUAACGCGUGGGUAACCUGCCUUGUACAGGGGGAUAACAGUUGGAAACGGCUGCUAAUACCGCAUAAGCGCACAGCAUCGCAUGAUGCAGUGUGAAAAACUCCGGUGGUAUAAGAUGGACCCGCGUUGGAUUAGCUAGUUGGUGAGGUAACGGCCCACCAAGGCGACGAUCCAUAGCCGACCUGAGAGGGUGACCGGCCACAUUGGGACUGAGACACGGCCCAAACUCCUACGGGAGGCAGCAGUGGGGAAUAUUGCACAAUGGGCGAAAGCCUGAUGCAGCGACGCCGCGUGAGCGAAGAAGUAUUUCGGUAUGUAAAGCUCUAUCAGCAGGGAAGAUAAUGACGGUACCUGACUAAGAAGCACUGGCUAAAUACGUG